This 482-nucleotide ribosomal RNA is filed under the name uncultured bacterium. RNAcentral describes it as "partial 16S ribosomal RNA". It matches the Rfam family "Bacterial small subunit ribosomal RNA", at positions 30 to 507 of the family's 1533-position model. The record is from RNAcentral.
AUUGAACGCUGGCGGCAUGCUUUACACAUGCAAGUCGAACGGUAACAGGCCGCAAGGUGCUGACGAGUGGCGAACGGGUGAGUAAUGCAUCGGAACGUGCCCAGUCGUGGGGGAUAACUACUCGAAAGAGUAGCUAAUACCGCAUACGAUCUAUGGAUGAAAGCGGGGGACCGUAAGGCCUCGCGCGAUUGGAGCGGCCGAUGUCAGAUUAGGUAGUUGGUGGGGUAAAGGCUCACCAAGCCAACGAUCUGUAGCUGGUCUGAGAGGACGACCAGCCACACUGGGACUGAGACACGGCCCAAACUCCUAAGGGAGGCAGAAGUGGGGAAUUUUGGACAAUGGGCGCAAGCCUGAUCCAGCAAUGCCGCGUGCAGGAAGAAGGCCUUCGGGUUGUAAACUGCUUUUGUACGGAACGAAACGGCUCUGGUUAAUACCCGGGGCUAAUGACGGUACCGUAAGAAUAAGCACCGGCUAACUACGUG